CUUAUUUAAAAUAUAAUAUACUGAUUGAAAUUGUUGUAGCUUGAAGAAGGGUGCACUGAAAAUCUUUUCCACUGUGCCCUGCAUUUGUAUGUACUAUAGCUAGAACAAUUUAGGUGGUCCUACGUUAUUUGUUUCUUACUUUUUGAACUACAAGGUUGGGUUCUCCAUUAGCAAUUGGAAUAACUAUCUCUCUCACCAAGUACAUUUUUUGAUGUAAUGUAAAUUACAAAUUAUAAUUUAAUAUUUCCAGAGAAAAGAAAAGAGUGUCAAUAAUGGAGCUCUAGCAAUAUCGAGAGUGGGGGCCUCCUGCUCUAUCAGCAAAUUAAUGUGAAAAACAUUUGCUUGCACAGAAGUAGAAGGGGGGACCAUGCAAUUUGCUAAAAGAUAGUUCACAUUCAAUGGUGAAAACAAUGUCAAUAAAUUGCAUUUGCUUUAUCAUCUUCUUUCCUCAGGACACCAUAUUUCUUGAUAAUAAAGGAGUCCGUAGUUCGUAAAACUGAUGAGAGGUGGAGACUUUGAGACUAGAGACUCUCUCUUCUGUGUUUUCAGUUUUGGGGUCCCAUUCCCUUCAAUAAUUUGAACCUCAUAUCAUGCAUGCAUGCAGUCAAAAAUAAAAAUAAAAAAUAAAAAAUUCAAAGCAAUGUAUAGUAUAAUAUUAUUGGCAAAAUUUGUCGAGUGACUUGUUUUUUGGACACGCAAGGCUCAAAUUAAAAUGGAGAGGAUCUUUUGUUUUUAUGCCUGCCUUAAUAUACCAGCUGUGAUGUACUUACUAUAUAUGGGGGGGCGUCUCUAUUCUGGUUUGAUGGGUUCAUAUUGAGAAAUCAUUUGCAGAAACUCACUAUAGCUUGGGUGAUGCUAUGAUGACAAAAUUAUUGGGGUAAAACAGCCCCCCACCAAGAGAGGAAUGUUAAACUUUGAAGUCAAGGAAUUAGUCGAUGCAGUAAAUUUUAGUUAUAUGCCAAGACAUGAUUGGAUUGCGUCAUAUAUGAGCCAUGAAGAGAAUAAGGAAAUCAAAGCAAAUAUUCAAAUUUAUUUUCUAAUUUAUAUGUGAUCCUAUCUUUAUUUAUAUUAAAGUUCAAUAUCAUGAAAAGAUCAAGAGUCCAAAUUAAAACAAAAAAAAAAAAAAAAAACUUAUAAAUGUAUGCUUGAAGUCGUAUAGAAGAAGACAUCCACUUACACGACAAAUAUAUUGAUAUUCACAGUAAGAAUAACCUUAUCAUCACUUUAAUUCAAAAGACUUAAAAAAAAAUAAAAGUUGAAAAAUACCUCAAGGGGUGUAGAGAGAAGAACAAUAUAAUGUGUGCUGUUGUUGGUAGCUUGAUAGAGUGGGCUUCAGGCCUAGUGGUGGGCAGUAGCAGCCACGCAGCGCAUGGAGCGACGCACACUCCGACCAAACACGAACAAACCUCCCCCUACUUUCCCACAGAUCCGAGAAACGCGUUGAUUAGUCGUGUGUUGUGUCCCUAAAACAUCAUCUUUCCACCCUCACACGCCCACCAUAGCGCGUGCACCCACUCUCUUAGAGCCGCUAAAAAUGGGAAAUAAAAUUUUUUGGAAUGAUGCUGCCUAAUUUUAAUAGCGCUUUGUCAGAUCUCUCUCUCUCUCUCUUUCUUUUUAACCAUGGCUGCUCUGCCUCUGCUGCUCUAAAGCGAAAAAAAGCCUAGGAUCCUAGGGCAACCAAAAUUUUGCCUAAUCAUUAUAGGGUUGCUAUUGAGAAACUCACCGUUAGUAGCAUAGCAAAUCAAAUUACUUGAUUUGGGCUUCUCAAAAAAAAAAAAAAAUUACUGGAUUUGGGAGAUUGGCAUCUUUCUAUUUUAAAAAAAAAAAGAUUAGCCCACAUGGCCGCAUGUACAUGCAUUGCUAGCUAGCUAUUCUGCUUCCCGCUUCUGUUGAUGGGGAAAUUAAAUAGUGUCAAGUCAUUUCCACCCCCACAAUUUUCUGACUCAUUCGGCCCCCACAGACAGAAACGAACACGGACAAUC
Molecule: long non-coding RNA, 1982 nt
Filed under: Citrus sinensis (sweet orange)
Lineage: Eukaryota; Viridiplantae; Streptophyta; Magnoliopsida; Sapindales; Rutaceae
Description: long non-coding RNA (CSIN_LNC002737)
Source: RNAcentral